Non-coding RNA from Biomphalaria pfeifferi, 336 nucleotides. NCBI's taxonomy places the organism in Eukaryota, Metazoa, Mollusca, Gastropoda, Planorbidae. The record is from the annotation of a GenBank genome assembly.
CUAUAGCGAUAACAAUAUAGAUGCAAAUACACGCAAUUACACAAAUUCCAGAGAUAUGCAUAUGAUGUAUUUCGCACAGUUUCACCAUUUUUUAACAAAUGCGUUAUGUUGGUAACCCUGAUAUAUUCUAAAGUAACAUUACCCACCAGCUACGCUAUUUAUAAAUGGAGCCGUUAGAAACCCAAAAUAAAAAAAAAAACAAAGAGAUCUAUGUUUAUUAAUUGUUAUUUUAUAAAAUGUAAAAAUGUUAUCGUAUCGUACAAAUACUUAAGAUUAUUCUAUUUUAAUAUUUACAAUAAUACAACAAAAAAAUACAGAAACAUUUUUUUAAAUAUU